This 577-nucleotide ribosomal RNA is filed under the name uncultured bacterium. RNAcentral describes it as "bacterial SSU rRNA". It matches the Rfam family "Bacterial small subunit ribosomal RNA", at positions 338 to 916 of the family's 1533-position model. The record is from RNAcentral.
CCUACGGGAGGCAGCAGUGAGGAAUAUUGGACAAUGGGCGCAAGCCUGAUCCAGCCAUGCCGCGUGCAGGAUGACGGUCCUAUGGAUUGUAAACUGCUUUUGCACAGGAAGAAACAACGCUACGUGUAGCGUCUUGACGGUACUGUGAGAAUAAGGAUCGGCUAACUCCGUGCCAGCAGCCGCGGUAAUACGGAGGAUCCAAGCGUUAUCCGGAAUCAUUGGGUUUAAAGGGUCCGUAGGCGGUUUAGUAAGUCAGUGGUGAAAGCCCAUCGCUCAACGGUGGAACGGCCAUUGAUACUGCUAGACUUGAAUUAUUAGGAAGUAACUAGAAUAUGUAGUGUAGCGGUGAAAUGCUUAGAGAUUACAUGGAAUACCAAUUGCGAAGGCAGGUUACUACUAAUGGAUUGACGCUGAUGGACGAAAGCGUGGGUAGCGAACAGGAUUAGAUACCCUGGUAGUCCACGCCGUAAACGAUGGAUACUAGCUGUUGGGAGCGAUCUCAGUGGCUAAGCGAAAGUGAUAAGUAUCCCACCUGGGGAGUACGUUCGCAAGAAUGAAACCUUAAAGGAAUUGACGG